Molecule: ribosomal RNA, 413 nt
Filed under: Mantidactylus melanopleura
Lineage: Eukaryota; Metazoa; Chordata; Amphibia; Anura; Mantellidae
Description: partial 16S ribosomal RNA
Rfam family: Bacterial large subunit ribosomal RNA
Source: RNAcentral
CCUUUUUCAAAUCAGUGAAAUUAAUCUCCCCGUGAAGAAGCGGGGAUACUCAUAUAAGACGAGAAGACCCCAUGGAGCUUCAAACCCAACUACACCCCUAGCUCUUAUAGCCCCACAACCCCCCCCUAGGCGCCGUGUGCUUGGUUUUAGGUUGGGGCGACCGCGGAGUACAAUAAAACCUCCACAAUGAACGGGAACACCCCCUUAUCUGAGGGCCACACCCCCUAAGAAUUAGAACACUAACAUAAAAUGAUCCAUUACUUGAUCAAUGAACCAAGUUACCCUGGGGAUAACAGCGCAAUCCAUUUCAAGAGCCCCUAUCGACAAAUGGGUUUACGACCUCGAUGUUGGAUCAGGGUACCCCAGUGGUGCAGCAGCUACUAACGGUUCGUUUGUUCAACGAUUAAAACCCU